Long non-coding RNA from Ipomoea triloba (trilobed morning glory), 524 nucleotides. RefSeq lists it as uncharacterized. NCBI's taxonomy places the organism in Eukaryota, Viridiplantae, Streptophyta, Magnoliopsida, Solanales, Convolvulaceae. The transcript is spliced from 2 exons. The record is from RefSeq and is a predicted model, not a curated record.
UGCAAACUUGCAAAAAAUCAAAGAAAUUGAAGAAGUGGUUGGCGAGUGGCGAGUGGCGAGCUAGAGAGGAGAAGAAAAUAGAAGAAUCGAAGAGAUGUGAUCACUGGCCAGAGAUGAUAACUCAUGUUUGACUCUGAGGGGGUGAGAAAAAGGUGAGAAGAAAGAAGAAAGAAGAGAGGCAAGAUUGCAAGAACAAAGAAGAAAACUAAGAAGGAUAGAAGAAUAAUGAAGAAACAGAAGCAGGGAGGAAGAAGGGUAUACUCGUCUUGCCAUGCCAAGUAAACUUUUGUUUCCAGCAGUCCCGGAAAAUAAAAUACCAGGGUCUACCACAGAAUUUGUUUUCCACAAAAAUGAGGAAUUGAACUUCCAAUGGAGAUUAAGUUCCAAUCAACCAAACAUGGGAAAAGAGUAAUUUCUUUGAUGUGGAGGAACCCACUUCCCUUGGAAAAACAGUUCCUGUGCCAACCAAACAUACCCUUAUUAUCAUUCCUAAUUUUUAAUGAUAGUUAUAAUUAUUAUUGAAA